Molecule: long non-coding RNA, 1019 nt
Organism: Hemicordylus capensis (graceful crag lizard)
Lineage: Eukaryota; Metazoa; Chordata; Lepidosauria; Squamata; Cordylidae
Exons: 3
Source: RefSeq, a predicted model, not a curated record
AUCACGUCUGAGUUAGAAUAAAUCCUGUUGAGUUCAUACAGGGGGGGCACGUGGCAAACUACUUGUCUCCCACCAUGCCCUCCAUCUGGAGCCGUCCCUGCAGACAGAUCUAUGGGUUAUUGGGUUUUUCAUGGGGGGUGGGAGAGCUGCAGGCUUGACAUUCCCCAGACCCAGCCUGCUAAAGAGUGAGUCGCAGGUUGGCACCCGUAUGGGGUGGGGCUGACCAGAUAAGGGACUACGAUGCACUCCCCACCCCCACGAGCUAGCGUCUUUCAUUAAGUACUUUACUGUUUCACUCUCACUUUCAGAAAUAUUAAAAUAUACUGUGGGGGUGAGUGGGAGAAGCUAGUCGAUCUCCCAUCCCCUCAACAAACCCGUGGGAUUCUGGCACGUGUGCGGGAUUCCGAUGGGGAAAAUGGCGCAGCUGGAGGGUGAGGCGGUAAGCAACCCUCUCCCCCGCCUCGCAUAAUGGAGCAAGCCCCGAGGCACGGUGAUAGUGGUGUUUGUUUGUUUGUUAAGGUCAAGUCAAAUACAAGUGAAAAGAAGGUAAAGAACAAGCAAUGCAGAUGUGCUUUCGAAAGAUAACAUCUGGGAAAAGAAAGCAAUCUACCACAAGAGCUGAUCUUAAGAGUCCUGAGAGAAAGCCAACAAGCCGUAGUAAAGUCAGGGCUCCCUGACUCACUCUUCCGGGUUUUACAUGAUCACAACAUGAAGUGGAGGAAUAAUCUACAGCCUACUUUAACUUAUUUACUAAACACUUUGCAGAUGAAAUAGUAUCUAAUCUGACACGAACAUCACACUGGAAGAGUAGUCCAUAUCAGAAGUACCUUGGUCUACGCCUGUCACAAUUGCUUAUAUGAGUUUUAGUUACUGACAACUGAGAAAGCUGACAAACUACAUGGAGGAAUCAGGCCCACAAAAUGCAUGCUUUUGACCCACAUCCUUCCUGGUUUAUUAAGGCCAGCUGAGAGUGCUGAUCACUCCGAUUAUAAAUGGUUAGCAGUUUUCUGUAUUAUCUA